RNAcentral lists this ribosomal RNA (888 nucleotides) under uncultured bacterium. RNAcentral's name for it is "bacterial SSU rRNA". It matches the Rfam family "Bacterial small subunit ribosomal RNA", at positions 509 to 1397 of the family's 1533-position model. The record is from RNAcentral.
CAGCCGCCGCGGUAAUACGAAGGGACCUAGCGUAGUUCGGAAUUACUGGGCUUAAAGAGUUCGUAGGUGGUUAAAAUAGUUGGUGGUGAAAUCCCAGAGCUUAACUCUGGAACUGCCAUCAAAACUUUUUAGCUAGAGUAUGAUAGAGGAAAGUAGAAUUUCUAGUGUAGAGGUGAAAUUCGUAGAUAUUAGAAAGAAUACCAAUUGCGAAGGCAGCUUUCUGGAUCAUUACUGACACUGAGGAACGAAAGCAUGGGUAGCGAAGAGGAUUAGAUACCCUCGUAGUCCAUGCCGUAAACGAUGUGUGCUAGACGUUGGAAAUUUUAUUUUCAGUGUCGCAGCGAAAGCGAUAAGCACACCGCCUGGGGAGUACGACCGCAAGGUUAAAACUCAAAUGAAUUGACGGGGACCCGCACAAGUAGUGGAGCAUGUGGUUUAAUUCGAAGAUACGCGCAGAACCUUACCAACACUUGACAUGUUCGUCGCGACUCUAAGAGAUUAGAGUUUUCGGUUCGGCCGGACGAAACACAGGUGCUGCAUGGCUGUCGUCAGCUCGUGUCGUGAGAUGUUGGGUUAAGUCCCGCAACGAGCGCAACCCUCACUUUUAGUUGCUAACAUUUAGUUGAGCACUCUGAAAGAACUGCCAGUGAUAAACUGGAGGAAGGUGGGGAUGACGUCAAGUCCUCAUGGCCCUUACGUGUUGGGCUACACACGUGCUACAAUGGCAUCUACAACAGGAAGCAAGAAUGCGAAUUCAAGCAAAUCCUCAAAAGAAGCCUCAGUUCGGAUUGUACUCUGCAACUCGAGUACAUGAAGCUGGAAUUACUAGUAAUCGCGGAUCAGCGUGCCGCGGUGAAUACGUUCCCGGGUCUUGCACACACCGCCCGU